This 477-nucleotide ribosomal RNA is filed under the name uncultured marine eukaryote. Its description in RNAcentral is "SSU rRNA". It matches the Rfam family "Eukaryotic small subunit ribosomal RNA", at positions 613 to 1093 of the family's 1831-position model. The record is from RNAcentral.
UUGCGGUUAAAAAGCUCGUAGUUGGAUUUCUGUUGAGGAUGACCGGUCCGCUCUUUGAGCGCGUAUCUGGUUCAGCCUUGGCAUCCUCUUGGGGAACGCUACUGUGCUUGAUUGCAUGGGGCGGUAUUCAAGACUUUUACUUUGAGGAAAUUAGAGUGUUCACUGCAAGCGUUAGCAAUUGAAUACAUUAGCAUGGAAUAAUAAUAUAGGACCUUGGUACUAUUUUGUUGGUUUCUAGAACUAAGGUAAUGAUUAAUAGGGACAAUUGGGGGCAUUCGUAUUAACGCGUCAGAGGUGGAAUUCUUAGAUUGCGUUACGACGAACUACUGCGAAAGCAUUUGCCAAGGAUGUUUUCAUUGAUCAAGAACGAAAGUAUGGGGAUCGAAGACGCUUAGAUACCGUCGUAGUCUAUACCAUAAACUAUGCCAACUAGAGAUUGGAGGUCGUUCUCUUUAUGACUCCUUCAGCACCUUAUGA